GGGGAUGUAGCUUAGUGGUAGAGCACCUACCUAGGAUGGCAAGACUGUGGGUUCCAUCCCCA
Molecule: transfer RNA, 62 nt
Filed under: Ictidomys tridecemlineatus (thirteen-lined ground squirrel)
Lineage: Eukaryota; Metazoa; Chordata; Mammalia; Rodentia; Sciuridae
Description: Spermophilus tridecemlineatus (thirteen-lined ground squirrel) tRNA
Rfam family: tRNA
About the family: Transfer RNA (tRNA) molecules are approximately 80 nucleotides in length. Their secondary structure includes four short double-helical elements and three loops (D, anti-codon, and T loops).
Source: Rfam by way of RNAcentral